RNAcentral lists this ribosomal RNA (550 nucleotides) under Limnonectes doriae (Doria's frog). RNAcentral's name for it is "partial 16S ribosomal RNA". It matches the Rfam family "Bacterial large subunit ribosomal RNA", at positions 1817 to 2597 of the family's 2925-position model. Lineage: Eukaryota; Metazoa; Chordata; Amphibia; Anura; Dicroglossidae. The record is from RNAcentral.
CGCCUCUUGAAUUUCAUAAGAGGUCCAGCCUGCCCAGUGACACAAUUAAACGGCCGCGGUACCCUGACCGUGCGAAGGUAGCAUAAUCACUUGUUCUCUAAAUAAGGACUUGUAUCAACGGCAUCACGAGGGUUACACUGUCUCCUCUUUUUAAUCAGUGAAACUGACUUUCCCGUGAAGAGGCGGGAAUAGAAAUACAAGACGAGAAGACCCCAUGGAGCUUUAAACCCAAUAGUUACCUCUAUUUACUACUACUACUUAAUCAAGAAGGCCUAUCUACUGGUUUUAGGUUGGGGUGACCCUGGAGUAAAACUUAACCUCCAUGAUGAAUAGAAUUUAUUCUAAUCCCAGAGCCACUGCUCUACGAAUCAAAAUUUUGACAUAAACUGAUCCGCCUAGCGAUCAACGAACCAAGUUACCCUGGGGAUAACAGCGCAAUCCAUUUCAAGAGCCCCUAUCGACAAAUGGGUUUACGACCUCGAUGUUGGAUCAGGGUAUCCCAGUGGUGCAGCCGCUACUGAAGGUUUGUUUGUUCAACAAUUAAAACCCU